This 407-nucleotide ribosomal RNA is filed under the name uncultured bacterium. Its description in RNAcentral is "partial 16S ribosomal RNA". It matches the Rfam family "Bacterial small subunit ribosomal RNA", at positions 360 to 774 of the family's 1533-position model. The record is from RNAcentral.
AAUAUUGCUCAAUGGAGGGAACUCUGACGCAGCGACGCCGCGUCAGCGAUGAAGGUCUUCGGAUCGUAAAGCUCCGGCCUUGGGGAAGAAGGUCUUCGGACUUGACGGUACCUAAGGAGGCUGCCCCGGCUACCUACGUGCCAGCAGCCGCGGUAAUACGUAGGGGGCAAGCGUUUUCCUGAAUUAUUGGGCGUAAAGGGUGCGUAGGCGGCCCUGUAAGUCAGUUGUGAAAGCCCACGGCUUAACCGUGGGACUGCAUUUGAAACUGGAGGGCUUGAGUGUCGGAGAGGGCAGUGGAAUUCCCAGUGUAGCGGUGGAAUGCGUAGAUAUUGGGAGGAACGCCAGUGGCGAAGGCGACUGCCUGGACGAUAACUGACGCUGAGGCACGAAAGCUAGGGGAGCAAACA